GGGGUGGUAGCUCAAUUGGUUAGAGCUUUGCACUGUCACUGCAAAGGUUGCGGGUCCGAGUCCCGUCCAUCCCGCCA
This 77-nucleotide transfer RNA is filed under the name Patescibacteria group bacterium. RNAcentral's name for it is "tRNA-Asp". It matches the Rfam family "tRNA". From Rfam's summary of the family: Transfer RNA (tRNA) molecules are approximately 80 nucleotides in length. Their secondary structure includes four short double-helical elements and three loops (D, anti-codon, and T loops). Further hydrogen bonds mediate the characteristic L-shaped molecular structure. tRNAs have two regions of fundamental functional importance: the anti-codon, which is responsible for specific mRNA codon recognition, and the 3' end, to which the tRNAs corresponding amino acid is attached (by aminoacyl-tRNA synthetases). tRNAs cope with the degeneracy of the genetic code in two manners: having more than one tRNA (with a specific anti-codon) for a particular amino acid; and 'wobble' base-pairing, i.e. permitting non-standard base-pairing at the 3rd anti-codon position. The record is from RNAcentral. RNAcentral also lists the same sequence under 1 other name.